UCGUGAAAACUGGCAUAGGGUUGUGAGAUCUUUCCAGGUACACGCAGAAAACAGAGCAUAAAGGCCUGAGAGAAAUAAAGUAAUCUUGCAGUUUGAUUUAAAGCUAAUUAAAUUAAAUAA
This is a long non-coding RNA of Xiphophorus couchianus (Monterrey platyfish), 120 nucleotides long. RefSeq lists it as uncharacterized. Lineage: Eukaryota; Metazoa; Chordata; Actinopteri; Cyprinodontiformes; Poeciliidae. The record is from RefSeq and is a predicted model, not a curated record. The transcript has 3 exons.